UACGGAGGGGGCGAGCGUUAUUCGGAAUUAUUGGGCGUAAAGGGCGCGUAGGCGGCUUGACAAGUCAAAGGUGAAAUCCCUCGGCUCAACUGAGGAACUGCCUUUGAAACUGUCUGGCUUGAGGCCGGGAGGGGGUAGCGGAAUUCCCAGUGUAGCGGUGAAAUGCGUAGAUAUUGGGAGGAACACCAGUGGCGAAGGCGGCUACCUGGACCGGUUCUGACGCUGAGGCGCGAAAGCGUGGGGAGCAAACGGG
RNAcentral lists this ribosomal RNA (253 nucleotides) under uncultured bacterium. RNAcentral describes it as "partial 16S ribosomal RNA". It matches the Rfam family "Bacterial small subunit ribosomal RNA", at positions 524 to 776 of the family's 1533-position model. The record is from RNAcentral.